CCUACGGGAGGCUGCAGUGAGGAAUAUUGGUCAAUGGACGAGAGUCUGAACCAGCCAAGUAGCGUGAAGGAUGACUGCCCUAUGGGUUGUAAACUUCUUUUAUAUGGGAAUAAAAUGUUCCACGUGUGGGAUUUUGUAUGUACCAUAUGAAUAAGGAUCGGCUAACUCCGUGCCAGCAGCCGCGGUAAUACGGAGGAUCCGAGCGUUAUCCGGAUUUAUUGGGUUUAAAGGGAGCGUAGGUGGAUUGUUAAGUCAGUUGUGAAAGUUUGCGGCUCAACCGUAAAAUUGCAGUUGAAACUGGCAGUCUUGAGUACAGUAGAGGUGGGCGGAAUUCGUGGUGUAGCGGUGAAAUGCAUAGAUAUCACGAAGAACUCCGAUCGCGAAGGCAGUUCACUGGACUGCAACUGACACUGAGGCUCGAAAGUGUGGGUAUCAAACAGGAUUAGAUACCCUUGUAAUC
RNAcentral lists this ribosomal RNA (460 nucleotides) under uncultured bacterium. RNAcentral's name for it is "partial 16S ribosomal RNA". It matches the Rfam family "Bacterial small subunit ribosomal RNA", at positions 338 to 795 of the family's 1533-position model. The record is from RNAcentral.